This 468-nucleotide ribosomal RNA is filed under the name uncultured bacterium. Its description in RNAcentral is "partial 16S ribosomal RNA". It matches the Rfam family "Bacterial small subunit ribosomal RNA", at positions 28 to 523 of the family's 1533-position model. The record is from RNAcentral.
GAUGAACGCUGGCGGCGUGCCUAACACAUGCAAGUCGAGCGAUUCUCUUCGGAGAAGAGCGGCGGACGGGUGAGUAACGCGUGGGUAACCUGCCUUGUACACACGGAUAACAUACCGAAAGGUAUGCUAAUACGAGAUAAUAUGCUUUUAUCGCAUGGUAGAAGUAUCAAAGCUUUUGCGGUACAGGAUGGACCCGCGCCUGAUUAGCUAGUUGGUAAGGUAACGGCUUACCAAGUCGACGAUCAGUAGUCGACCUGAGAGGGUGAUCGGCCACAUUGGAACUGAGACACGGUCCAAACUCCUACGGGAGGCAGCAGUGGGGAAUAUUGCACAAUGGGCGAAAGCCUGAUGCAGCAACGCCGCGUGAGUGAUGAAGGCCUUCGGGUCGUAAAGCUCUGUCCUCAAGGAAGAUAAUGACGGUACUUGAGGAGGAAGCCCCGGCUAACUACGUGCCAGCAGCCGCAGUAA